RNAcentral lists this ribosomal RNA (305 nucleotides) under uncultured bacterium. RNAcentral describes it as "bacterial SSU rRNA". It matches the Rfam family "Bacterial small subunit ribosomal RNA", at positions 338 to 639 of the family's 1533-position model. The record is from RNAcentral.
CCUACGGGGCGCAGCAGUGAGGAAUAUCGGUCAAUGGGCGCGAGCCUGAACCAGCCAAGUCGCGUGAGGGAUGACGGCCCUACGGGUUGUAAACCUCUUUUGCCGGGGAGCAACGGGCGCCACGUGUGGCGCCACUGAGAGUACCCGGAGAAAAAGCAUCGGCUAACUCCGUGCCAGCAGCCGCGGUAAUACGUAGGUGGCAAGCGUUAUCCGGAUUUACUGGGUGUAAAGGGCGUGUAGGCGGGAGUGCAAGUCAGAUGUGAAAACUAUGGGCUCAACCCAUAGCCUGCAUUUGAAACUGUACU